Molecule: non-coding RNA, 45 nt
Organism: Schistosoma rodhaini
Lineage: Eukaryota; Metazoa; Platyhelminthes; Trematoda; Strigeidida; Schistosomatidae
Source: Rfam
AUCCAGCUGACGAAUCCCAAAUAGGACGAAACGCUCGUCCUGGAU